UGCCAGCCGCCGCGGUAAUACGGAGGGCGCAAGCGUUACUCGGAAUCACUGGGCGUAAAGAGCGUGUAGGCGGAUAAAUAAGUUUGAAGUGAAAUCCUGUGGCUCAACCAUAGAACUGCUUUGAAAACUGUUUAUCUAGAAUAUGGGAGAGGUAGAUGGAAUUUCUGGUGUAGGGGUAAAAUCCGUAGAGAUCAGAAGGAAUACCGAUUGCGAAGGCGAUCUACUGGAACAUUAUUGACGCUGAGACGCGAAAGCGUGGGGAGCAAACAGGAUUAGAUA
This 279-nucleotide ribosomal RNA is filed under the name uncultured bacterium. RNAcentral describes it as "partial 16S ribosomal RNA". It matches the Rfam family "Bacterial small subunit ribosomal RNA", at positions 506 to 784 of the family's 1533-position model. The record is from RNAcentral.